GCAAACUUGGUCAUUUAGAGGAAGUAAAAGUCGUAACAAGGUUUCCGUAGGUGAACCUGCGGAAGGAUCAUUAUUGAAUUUUCAUCUGCUUUGGUUGUUGCUGGUCGUCCCUUGGGGCUUCAUGUGCACGCCGGGCUCUUGAUUAUAUCCACCUGUGCACCUAUGUAGUUCAGCAACAAGAGCAUAUUCUGCAGUAAUUUGUGGAGAUGGCGGAGUUGAACACCCACAUGUGUGGGUGCUCUCUCUGUGGCUCGAAGCUGUUCUAUGAUUUAUUCACUCUUGUAUGUCUAUGAACGUCCUGAUUUUGGUCGGAAGACCUCUAAUCUUAACACAACUAUUGACAACGGAUCUCUUGGCUCACGCAUCGAUGAAGAACGCAGC
Molecule: unclassified non-coding RNA, 381 nt
Filed under: uncultured fungus
Lineage: Eukaryota; Fungi
Description: partial contains small subunit ribosomal RNA, internal transcribed spacer 1, and 5.8S ribosomal RNA
Rfam family: Eukaryotic small subunit ribosomal RNA (bases 1-73)
Source: RNAcentral